AGUGAACGCUGGCGGUAGGCCUAACACAUGCAAGUCGAACGGCAGCACAGUAAGAGCUUGCUCUUACGGGUGGCGAGUGGCGGACGGGUGAGGAAUACAUCGGAAUCUACUUUUUCGUGGGGGAUAACGUAGGGAAACUUACGCUAAUACCGCAUACGACCUACGGGUGAAAGCAGGGGAUCUUCGGACCUUGCGCGUAUGAAUGAGCCGAUGUCGGAUUAGCUAGUUGGCGGGGUAAAGGCCCACCAAGGCGACGAUCCGUAGCUGGUCUGAGAGGAUGAUCAGCCACACUGGAACUGAGACACGGUCCAUACUCCUACCGGAGGCAGCAGUGCGGAAUAUUGGACAAUUAGCGCAAGCCUGUUCCAGCCACACCGCGUGGGUGAAGAAGGCCUUCGGGUUGUAAAGCCCUUUUGUUGGGAAAGAAAAGCAGCACGUUAAUACCCCGCUGUUCUGACGGUACCCACAGAAUAAGCACCGGCUAACUUCGUG
RNAcentral lists this ribosomal RNA (492 nucleotides) under uncultured bacterium. Its description in RNAcentral is "partial 16S ribosomal RNA". It matches the Rfam family "Bacterial small subunit ribosomal RNA", at positions 29 to 507 of the family's 1533-position model. The record is from RNAcentral.